GUUCUUCUCCUUACUCCAAGAUCUAAACUCGAUUCGCUGGAAAAAGAAGCGGAAGAUUAAUUUCAUCAAUCAGUGGGAAACAACAAAUGGCUCCCUAUGGAUGUAAAACUAGUGGAUUUGUAUGGGAAUCUGGUGGUGGAAGAAAAACUACAACAGAAAGACGAACUGCCUUGAGCAUAAUGAUAUCUCCUCUCAAAGAAAUUACAUCAUUUGUCCAGCUAUCGAUCUAAUAGAUCUCCUGAAUUAUUUCACCAUAUGGGAUUCUGGUGAUGAUGAUGCCGAUGAUUAUGCACUCAUCUUUUGCAUCAUAAAAAUCAGGGUAAAUCUUCUCUGAAAUGCCUCAACAAUCAGUUCCAACAUUGAUUUCUACCAAGAAUUUUGUUCAUCAAACAUUUGAAGCAAAUAAUUGAUAAAAUCAGAAGGAUUGUUUGCAGUUAUCAGAUUACAAAAGAGGGAUUAUUAGGUUUAUGCUCAUGCUGUGGAGGAAGAUGGAGAAACACCAAAUUUAAAGUAAGAAGAGAUUAAUGUUUGAGCAAUCAAACACCAAACCUCCAGUUUAAGGUAUAUAAAAAUAGCAUUUCAACUCUAAACACAAUUCUUCACAGUUCAGGACUAGUUGCCUUGGAGUAUUGGCUUAACUGAUGACACAAGGGUUCAAGUUCACUGAGAAGAGAGUUCUGGGCUUAACAAAAACAAAGACUCUUAAUAUGAGGUGGUCUAAUACAUGUUAGGAUCUGUUUUGUAAUUGACGCCGUAUUUGAGAAUUGUUGUAAACACUCGGUGCUUCUUCAUGGUUUUCCAUAGUUCCUUUGCAAUUAUCAUUACAGCUUCUGCGAUGUCAUCCCGCCAAGCUGCAUCCAGAUCCGGCUUGUUAUUCUCCGUGCAUUUACUCGCAACAUGAGGCAGCCUGAUCCUUCCACCUUAUACUUGAAGAUUGUUUUCUGAGCUGAAAUAAGUCAAUCACCAUGCGUUUUAUCUGUUGUUGAUACUGCGUAUCUAAAGACGGCAAGAAAGAUCAUUAUUUUUGACAGAAUCACAGCAGAGAAUGCUGCGUUCUCAGGGCGAGGUAGCACUGGCUGGUUCUGGUACAAUGUACCAUUGAUGGAUUCUCUCGCCAUAUGUGUUGGCAUGCAGGCUAUCCAGCAACUUCAGACCAAGACAUCACCUUCACCACAGAUGACACAUACCGCACCAAUGGAUGUUCUCUUGGCGUGUUCUGCUAUGGAUAUGUUCCAAACUCUGACAGGGAUUCUUGAUGCAGAAGCAGAUAUGAGGGUUAUUUUGGGUGUGUACUUGCUAUAGAGUCGAUUAAGAAUCAUAGAUAUAACUUCUGGACUUGAUCCUCCAGAGAUGUGCACGUGAGAUUGGAAAGCUGUUUGAAUCCAUAUCAAGAUGACAGUUUGGUAUCUGAUGGCGCUGACUGAUUCUUCUUCCAUCUUUAAUCUGCAUUGAGUUAUUGGUGAAUCAUUUUAUGUGAAUUGUACAUCUUACUCUUGUUAAUUGCAUUUUUUAAUUACUGUACCCCGAAAUGUUUUGGUUUUUUGUAUAAAAG
Molecule: long non-coding RNA, 1552 nt
Organism: Papaver somniferum (opium poppy)
Lineage: Eukaryota; Viridiplantae; Streptophyta; Magnoliopsida; Ranunculales; Papaveraceae
Exons: 4
Source: RefSeq, a predicted model, not a curated record